UACGGAGGGGGCUAGCGUUGUUCGGAAUUACUGGGCGUAAAGCGCACGUAGGCGGCGAUUUAAGUCAGAGGUGAAAGCCCGGGGCUCAACCCCGGAACUGCCUUUGAGACUGGAUUGCUAGAAUCUUGGAGAGGCGGGUGGAAUUCCGAGUGUAGAGGUGAAAUUCGUAGAUAUUCGGAAGAACACCAGUGGCGAAGGCGGCCCGCUGGACAAGUAUUGACGCUGAGGUGCGAAAGCGUGGGGAGCAAACAGG
Molecule: ribosomal RNA, 253 nt
Filed under: uncultured bacterium
Lineage: Bacteria
Description: partial 16S ribosomal RNA
Rfam family: Bacterial small subunit ribosomal RNA
Source: RNAcentral